Molecule: ribosomal RNA, 125 nt
Filed under: Baltazaria eurasiaticogalactina
Lineage: Eukaryota; Fungi; Basidiomycota; Agaricomycetes; Agaricales
Description: partial small subunit ribosomal RNA
Rfam family: Eukaryotic small subunit ribosomal RNA
Source: RNAcentral
CCUUUGUACACACCGCCCGUCGCUACUACCGAUUGAAUGGCUUAGUGAGACCUCCGGAUUGGCUUUGAGGAGCGGGCGACCGCACCUUGUUGCUGAGAAGCUGGUCAAACUUGGUCAUUUAGAGG